GUCACCGGCUCUCCUUCACGCGGAAGGCGGAAGAAGUGAGCGCCUGCUCGCUGCCAUGCUCCAUCUGAACCUAAAUAAAGAGGUUCUGUUUGGUUCCGUCACCGUCGGAGUGGUUUUUGUCACAGGUUAUCUGUUUGCUGGUCGGUGGAAACAUUUCUAGGUUUGGAAUAAUCCCUCUUGCACAACGUUGCUGAGACUGACUGAUGGAGACAGAUGUUCAUCUGCAUCUGUGAAGCUUCCAGAAGGCGGGAGAGCCUGAGAACGCUCCGGAGUCUCACUGCUGGGAUCAUGUGAUGCUGCUGUUGGAGGAUCGCCAGCCUAAAUGUUCUCUUCUGUCCGUGUCAAACAUGAGAUUUGAGGGGAGGGGGUUUGAAUUCAAGCAAUAAAAAAGGCUGUAAAGACACUGAA
Molecule: long non-coding RNA, 408 nt
Organism: Oryzias melastigma (Indian medaka)
Lineage: Eukaryota; Metazoa; Chordata; Actinopteri; Beloniformes; Adrianichthyidae
Exons: 2
Source: RefSeq, a predicted model, not a curated record